UACCAAAUUCGUUUUCUGUCCAGGUGUA
RNAcentral lists this non-coding RNA (28 nucleotides) under Bombyx mori (domestic silkworm). Lineage: Eukaryota; Metazoa; Arthropoda; Insecta; Lepidoptera; Bombycidae. The record is from RNAcentral.